Molecule: long non-coding RNA, 1181 nt
Organism: Apodemus sylvaticus (European woodmouse)
Lineage: Eukaryota; Metazoa; Chordata; Mammalia; Rodentia; Muridae
Exons: 2
Source: RefSeq, a predicted model, not a curated record
GCCGUCACGUCCGGGGCUUUCCCUGGCAACAGGGCGAGCGUCCCCUGCAACGCGGACAGCGGACCGGAGGGGCAAAUGGAACAUUCCAUUGCACCCAAAGAACUGGGGAGGAAAUAGGCGGAGCGAUCCAUUUAGCCGGAUGGGGAGAAGCAACCGCGGAAAAGGCUGUCUGGCUUCGCAGCAGAGCCCAAGAGGACGAGAGAGGGGGGAGGUUAGGACUGACGGAAGGCGACUCCCGCUUCUAUCGCUGGACGCCAGGCGUGUGGCAGGCCACCAACCGCCCCUGACGAGCCCCUCUUCCCACUGCCGCCUGCCCUCCCGCCCCGGAUCAGCGCCUUACAACUCUUCACUUUGAAGUGCGUGUCGUGCCCUUGUCUCCGGAGACGCCGAGAGUCCUCCAGGCCCCUCGAGUGAAGUGCAGCCUGACCCACUUUCUCUGGCCCUACUUUUAUCUCCGCAUUCACGACCCACCCUCCAAGACCCACCUUCUAUGGGCGUGGAGCCCCGUGGGCUUCAAGGACUCACCACAGGAUUUCCACCAGUCUUUCAAUCCUGAGUGACCCCAACAGUCUGCUCCUCAGAUCCCUGCGGGCUGCUGGCGACACAGACCCUACCAGGGCAGCCUGACUUCCUCCGCGCUGCGGGCGGGCGCUGGCACCACCCGGCCUACCUGUGACCCCUGCGCGCGCCGGAGUGCCCCGGGAUAGCCUUUAUCCGUCAGUGCUUUUACUUAGCAAUUAAAUUAAGUUUGCAGGAUUUCUGAGCUUGCCGGAGACUCGAGGCCUGUACUCAGGGUCUUUGCUCCGUCUAAAGUUAAUAAAGCGUGUGUUGAAGAUGGUGUGGGAGGGAUGGGUCCAAGGUUCCCUCUGAUCCAUACACGCUUGAAAAACCAGAACCGCCGGUAUGAGGCUGUGAUGUUAAAAUUUCUCAGACCUGGAAAGAGCUCAAGCCAGGGCUUGGAGACUGCUCUCCGGGACACACCGGAGGGGCUCUGUCCUAGAGCAGCUGUCUCAGGAGAGGGUUGGAAAACCCUAAAGGGGUAGGGUAUUUCUGAUUCUCCUGCUAGGUUUCUGCAAAAAAAGGCUCAACUGGUGAAAUCUUUGUAGACGGCCUAUCCUCACCCCACCUCCCCACCCACGCGCUUGCAAGGCACAAAAAGCAAAUAAAAAGACUUGAAGUCA